CAGUCGUGCAGUCAUCAACUCAGCGGUAGCGUAGGUAAUUUAUUACUUUCGUUUUCCGUGUACUUUGUUGUCUGCUGGUUAGCAUCAAUUUUGAUUGUCAUAAAAAGGUUAAGGGGAUGUGGCUCCUUCGGGAGUGUUAUAACCCUUAGCGGAAUGUGGCGAUUGGGAUUGAGGAUUGCAACGAAUACCUUUAGGGCAGUUCCGUCUGGUCUCUUGUUGAUUUUCAGAUAGCAAAAGCUUGCUUUUGUUGUUUGAAUAGUUAGCAAAUAGAUUGGAAAGUGAAUUAA
RNAcentral lists this ribosomal RNA (287 nucleotides) under uncultured Glomeromycotina. RNAcentral describes it as "partial 28S rRNA". The record is from RNAcentral. Lineage: Eukaryota; Fungi; Glomeromycota.